This 1217-nucleotide long non-coding RNA is filed under the name Equus caballus (horse). Its description in RNAcentral is "lncRNA (ENSECAG00000051334.1)". Lineage: Eukaryota; Metazoa; Chordata; Mammalia; Perissodactyla; Equidae. The record is from RNAcentral.
ACCACUUCAGAUUUCUUUAUUAUUUUAAAGCAAAUCCCAGACGUCAUAGAAUCUCUUCUGUAAAUAUUUAACUACUCAUCACUAAGGGUGCAGGACUCUUUUAAAAAACCUAACAAUAUCAUUCUACCACCUAAAAUGUUUUAAAAAGAAUUCAUUAACAUCAUCAAAGAACCAGAGUUCACAUUUUCCUUGUGCAGUUGUUUUGUUUGUAUUAGGAUCCAAAUAAGAUCUAUUCAGUGCUAUUGGCUAAUAUGGCUCUUAAUUCAAACUUACCCCAUCGUGAUAGUUAAUAUUAAAUACCAACUUGACUGAGCCACAGGUUCCCAGAUACUGGGACAAAUAAUAUUCUGGGUAUUUCUGUGAGAGUUUAACCUUUAAAUCAAUCAACUGAGUAAACCAGACUGCCCUCCCUUGUGGAGGUGGACCUCAUUCAAUCAGUUGAAGGUCUGAACAGAACAAAAGGUUGAUUUUCUCUUAAAUAAGAGAGAAUUCCUCCUGCCUACCUUCAAGCUGGAACAUCUUUUCCCCCCCUGCCUUUGGAUUCAGACUGAAGCAUCAGCUUUUCCUGGGUCUAGAGCCUGCUGGCCUUUGGACUAGAACCACGCUAUCAGCUCUCCUGGGUCCCCAGCUUGCUGACUGCCAAUCUUAGGACUUGUCAACCACCAUAGUCUUUAAGGGAGAAGGGAAAUGCUCACCAGCCAGCAGACAGACGACCACCACACCCUGGUUCCUUAACACGCCAAGGUUCUGUGGUUUCUUUUACACUCAAGAGGACAACCUGAGAGCCUCUGGUCAGCAGGGGAGUCACAGCCUCUGGACUCGCAGGGCAAAGAAGUCUUCUGAAGCACAAACAGUUCAACCUCUCUGCAUUGAGAGAAGUCAAGCCUUAAUCAUUGUCGCUCGCACUCCUGAAUCCUAAUUCUAGAUUGAAACGUCUCCCCAGGCAACACCAACACACCUUUAAUUUUUGUGUUCUACGUCAAAGACCUCCUUUACUGAACUUUAUCUUCAUCCUAGCUGAUUUUUCUGGUUUAUCAAAUUUAUCUUUAGUCAAUGAACUGAAAAGUUUCAUCUGCAUGAUAAACCUCCCCAAUGGUUUAAUACCCCAGAGUUUACAAAAUCGUUCCAGUGGAUUGUUCCUCAAAGCUGUGAGGCAGCCUGCAAAGUUCUUUGUGGCUUCAUCUUACAGAAGAACCAGCAACAACCACAGAGACGCU